AUGGUAUGGGAUCUAUCAUAUGUUUGUUUUCGGCUUAUUUUGCAAGCCAAUCCUUUUUUUUGGUUUUCAGUUGUGGUAUUCGAGUUGCUUCAAUGUCAAGUGUUGAUUCCUUACCUUCUCCUAAGUGGUGUUCUCAUACUGCUAUGUGAAUACCAGUCCUUCAUGAUAAUCGAGAUUGUCAUGUCAAUUCUUUUCCAUCCAAAGUGUCCUCUUCAAGUGGAUCCAAUCAUUUUCAACAUCCGCAAGAUCCAAUCUCAGUUUUCUCAAUGGUGUUUGUUUCAUCCGUCCCAAGUUGUCUUUGUUUUUCCCGCCCACCCACCCUUUUCUUCAAGGACUCAGACUUUUUAA
RNAcentral lists this ribosomal RNA (348 nucleotides) under Triticum aestivum (bread wheat). Its description in RNAcentral is "partial small subunit ribosomal RNA". The record is from RNAcentral. Lineage: Eukaryota; Viridiplantae; Streptophyta; Magnoliopsida; Poales; Poaceae.